GAUGAACGCUGGCGGCGUGCUUAACACAUGCAAGUCGAACGAAGCAUUUAAGACAGAUUACUUCGGUUUGAAGUCUUUUAUGACUGAGUGGCGGACGGGUGAGUAACGCGUGGGUAACCUGCCUCAUACAGGGGGAUAGCAGCUGGAAACGGCUGGUAAUACCGCAUAAGCGCACAGUACCACAUGGUACAGUGUGAAAAACUCCGGUGGUAUGAGAUGGACCCGCGUCUGAUUAGCUUGUUGGCGGGGUAACGGCCCACCAAGGCGACGAUCAGUAGCCGACCUGAGAGGGUGACCGGCCACAUUGGGACUGAGACACGGCCCAGACUCCUACGGGAGGCAGCAGUGGGGAAUAUUGCACAAUGGAGGAAACUCUGAUGCAGCGACGCCGCGUGAGUGAAGAAGUAGUUCGCUAUGUAAAGCUCCAUCAGCAGGGAAGAUAGUGACGGUACCUGACUAAGAAGCUCCGGCUAAAUACGUG
RNAcentral lists this ribosomal RNA (481 nucleotides) under uncultured bacterium. Its description in RNAcentral is "partial 16S ribosomal RNA". It matches the Rfam family "Bacterial small subunit ribosomal RNA", at positions 28 to 507 of the family's 1533-position model. The record is from RNAcentral.